GUCUCCGGCCGUACAACCCUGACCGCACCCGAUCUCGUCUGAUCUCCGAAGAUCGGAAGCUAAGCAGGGUCGGGCUGGUGGGUGACUCGGACGGGAGCAGGAGAAG
RNAcentral lists this ribosomal RNA (106 nucleotides) under Sorex araneus (European shrew). The record is from RNAcentral. Lineage: Eukaryota; Metazoa; Chordata; Mammalia; Eulipotyphla; Soricidae.